GAUGAACGCUGGCGGCGUGCUUAACACAUGCAAGUCGAACGAUGAAGCUCAGCUUGCUGGGUGGAUUAGUGGCGAACGGGUGGGUAACACGUGAGUAACCUGCCCUUAACUCUGGGAUAAGCCUGGGAAACUAGGUCUAAUACCGGAUAGGAGCGCCUACCGCAUGGUGGGUGUUGGAAAGAUUUAUCGGUUUUGGAUGGACUCGCGGCCUAUCAGCUUGUUGGUGAGGUAAUGGCUCACCAAGGCGACGACGGGUAGCCGGCCUGAGAGGGUGACCGGCCACACUGGGACUGAGACACGGCCCAGACUCCUACGGGAGGCAGCAGUGGGGAAUAUUGCACAAUGGGCGAAAGCCUGAUGCAGCGACGCCGCGUGAGGGAUGACGGCCUUCGGGUUGUAAACCUCUUUCAGUAGGGAAGAAGCGAAAGUGACGGUACCUGCAGAAGAAGCACCGGCUAACUACGUG
RNAcentral lists this ribosomal RNA (466 nucleotides) under uncultured bacterium. RNAcentral's name for it is "partial 16S ribosomal RNA". It matches the Rfam family "Bacterial small subunit ribosomal RNA", at positions 28 to 507 of the family's 1533-position model. The record is from RNAcentral.